UUGCUUAUAGUUUUUUGGGAAGAUAGUUCUGUCUCUGAUUGGCAGCCAUGACAGCUAAAUGCAGGCCUCCUUGUUAAAAAGGCAAGCAACAGAGGUUAGUUGGCUGCUUUUCUUCAGCUGUGCUUUAUAAGCUUAUUAGGUGCAUCUGGCUAGCUGUGUCUGGAAGGCAGAGUGCUGAAAUACAGAUCUUGAUCUGACCCAGUAUAGAUCUGUGCUGCUGUUAAGAGAGCUCAUCUCUGAUACUGUACAAACUCAUGAGCCCUUCCAAGCAGAUGGCUGGUGUGACACCAUCAAUAACCGAGCCUAUUGUCAGUAUGAUGGAGGUGACUGCUGCUCUUCCACAGUCUCUUCCAGGAAGGUGGUCCUUUUUCCCAACGGCUGUGAUCAGGAUGAGUGCACCUGCCGGGACCCAGCAGCAGAAGAGAAUCAUUAACAGCAGUCGGAACAAGAGGAAAAUUCAAGGGCGUGUGCAGGAGCAUGAACCAGUGAACUGGAAGGACUGA
This 503-nucleotide long non-coding RNA is filed under the name Pogona vitticeps (central bearded dragon). Its description in RNAcentral is "lncRNA (ENSPVIG00000012231.1)". The record is from RNAcentral. Lineage: Eukaryota; Metazoa; Chordata; Lepidosauria; Squamata; Agamidae.